Phyllostomus discolor (pale spear-nosed bat) is the source of this 1439-nucleotide long non-coding RNA. RefSeq lists it as uncharacterized. The transcript is spliced from 3 exons. NCBI's taxonomy places the organism in Eukaryota, Metazoa, Chordata, Mammalia, Chiroptera, Phyllostomidae. The record is from RefSeq and is a predicted model, not a curated record.
UUUCAAUUCCAGAACAUAUAACAGAGAAAUUUAUGUUUGUCUUUUUUACUGGAUUUCAGUAAUAUAAGUAAAUGGAUCUGAUACCCAUCUAAAAAUGUAGACACUUUCCAAAUGAUAUUUGCAGUCAAGUCAGCAGGUGUCAAAUGAAAAAAAAGAAGAAAAUGCGUGCAGGGCAGCACCUGUGUAGGUGUGAACAGGGCCAUCUGAACCUGAGAUAAUGGUUUGGGACACCAUGAUGUCAACUUGGUGUAAAAUGAUUAUCAUAUCACCUGUAAUUUCAGUGACAAUACUUGCAUGGGGAGUUGAGAUGAUGUUUGAAAAACAUUUGCAGAUUGUACAAAUUACUGAAAGCAAUUAAUGUUAAUUAAAAAGUUUUGUAUUGACAACUGCUAAAAUGGCUAGGGAACAACCUACCUGUAAAACAUUUUUAAAAAAAUCUCAGGGAACACAGAGAAGACCUGAAAACACUGGGAUGUAAUAAGUGAGAAUGAGACAGUUCCUUGUUAUCCAGGUUUAUUAAUUAUUUUGAAAGUUUGUCUCAAAAUAUUGUUCCUUUUGAGUACUGGAAUAGAAGGUAUAGCAGAACAUGAGAUAGAAAAAGAGAUAAAAAGAGAUAAAUAGAAAGGGUAGCUGGGUGGUUCAAAUGAACAAAUAUCUGCGAUGUCAUUCAGUAAGUCUUAUUCCAGAAAUUAUUGAGGUUCUUACAUCUUUGGGCACUUUGGUAGCUAUACUGCACCAUUAUUGUAUAAGACACAUAAUCUAGCUUCUAAUGGAGAGACAGCAUUACAUAAAACCAAGUUAUUAAAUUUAGUUAAUUAGUAUAAAGUUUUAUGGAAAAUGGAGAAAAGUAAGCACAGAUGAUGAAACAUUCAGUGGUCAAGGAUCAGUGGCAGCAUAAAAUAUGUUAAAGAUGUGAGGGGACAGGUCUGAUUCUUCCUUUGAAAUCUAUAAACGUUCCUUCUUUUCCUUGCACUGUUGUAAUGAGAGGACUACAAUUUGGGUAAAAUAAUGAAGCGCUCCAAAUAGACAACUAACUUCCACUGGACCCACUUUCCUUCCCUUCCCGGUUCUAGCAGAAAAUAGAAAGUGCUGCGAUCAAGAUUCAGCCACUCACUUUGCAUUGGAGACAACCCAUCUUGUCUUCUUCAGGACAGGAUGCCUGGAACUCAUUACCUUCUUACAGUGCUAUCUUCCCUCCUCCAUCUCAUUCCCAACAACAUCCACACGUGGUGGUGUGGCCACAGUAAACAAUGUAGUACUGCUGUUCCAGCCUGCAUUCAGCUGAUACUAUUGUCCUACUAUUGUCCUACUAUUGCCCUGGUGUAGCUCAGCAGAUUGAAUGCCGACUUGCAAACCAAAGUACUCCACGGUUCAAUUCCCAGUCAGGACACAUUCUUGGGUUGUGGGCCACGUCUCCAGUAGGGGACAUGCUGAAAGAC